This 76-nucleotide transfer RNA is filed under the name Candidatus Omnitrophota bacterium. RNAcentral's name for it is "Candidatus Omnitrophica bacterium tRNA-Thr". It matches the Rfam family "tRNA". Rfam says of the family: Transfer RNA (tRNA) molecules are approximately 80 nucleotides in length. Lineage: Bacteria; Pseudomonadati; Candidatus Omnitrophota. The record is from RNAcentral.
GCCCUUGUAGCUCAGUUGGCAGAGCACGUCCUUGGUAAGGACGAGGUCACCGGUUCAAUCCCGGUCGAGGGCUCCA